This 497-nucleotide ribosomal RNA is filed under the name uncultured bacterium. Its description in RNAcentral is "partial 16S ribosomal RNA". It matches the Rfam family "Bacterial small subunit ribosomal RNA", at positions 28 to 507 of the family's 1533-position model. The record is from RNAcentral.
GAUGAACGCUGGCGGCGUGCCUAAUACAUGCAAGUCGAGCGAACAGAUGAGGAGCUUGCUCCUCUGACGUUAGCGGCGGACGGGUGAGUAACACGUGGAUAUCCUACCUAUAAGACUGGGAUAACUUCGGGAAACCGGAGCUAAUACCGGAUAAUAUAUUGAACCGCAUGGUUCAAUAGUGAAAGACGGUUUUGCUGUCACUUAUAGAUGGAUCCGCGCCGCAUUAGCUAGUUGGUAAGGUAACGGCUUACCAAGGCAACGAUGCGUAGCCGACCUGAGAGGGUGAUCGGCCACACUGGAACUGAGACACGGUCCAGACUCCUACGGGAGGCAGCAGUAGGGAAUCUUCCGCAAUGGGCGAAAGCCUGACGGAGCAACGCCGCGUGAGUGAUGAAGGUCUUCGGAUCGUAAAACUCUGUUAUUAGGGAAGAACAAAUGUGUAAGUAACUAUGCACGUCUUGACGGUACCUAAUCAGAAAGCCACGGCUAACUACGUG